This is a long non-coding RNA of Phragmites australis (common reed), 1337 nucleotides long. RefSeq lists it as uncharacterized. Lineage: Eukaryota; Viridiplantae; Streptophyta; Magnoliopsida; Poales; Poaceae. The transcript has 2 exons. The record is from RefSeq and is a predicted model, not a curated record.
CGGCCACUGGCAACCAGACUCCUCGUCUGUUCUUCUGUGGACUACGCGGCUGCAGUCGGCGCCGUCCGCCCCUCGCUUCCUGACUGCGCCGCCAUCUUCCUCCCAUAGGCGCCGCGCUACCCCACAGCCAGGUCCUUUAGAUCCAGCGACGUUGAGCACAGGGCAAGCGGCGGCAGGAUCUGAUGGACGUUGCCAUCGUUUCCCUCGCAGCAACCUUCUCCACUCAAUGCCCCCCUGCUCCUAGCCUGCGAUGCCCUCCACCCUACCGGACGCCUGCACCUCGCCUUCGAACACGACCAUGCCUGAGGUAUUACCCCUCCCCUCCUCUACUUGUGCAUAUGGAUUGGUGAAUGAAUUUCAGAAAUCACAUUUGUCGCCACAAUUUCUGCCUUCUGCGUGGUGGCCUGUGGAGACCCAAUCUAGCAUGACGACAGCCAUCCGUGGUGGCCUCCUCGUCUGCUAUGUCGCACUCUGAUAGCAAUACGACGUCCUUCCCAUGCUGUUCAAGGUCACAUCCUUCCUCCCCUCCUCUGCUUGAUUUGUUUGAUCAGUACAAUAAUCUGCCUACCACCAACCUGUUCGUGAAAAUGCUCAGCACAGAUGGACGAGAUUUAAGACCUACCCACUACAUGUUCGAUAGAAUGCUUCUCUGAGUUAAAGUACGAGAACAUUGGACCGGAGACAUUCAGACAUUGUGCUGUUGUCCUUUCCAUACUACCAUUAUUAGUACAGUAUAAGGAACCACUAUAAUUUUGGUGGAUCUUUAGUUUCAGAUGGGUCUGCAUGAAAAAAACCCGAUGCUUAACAGAUCAGAGCUAUGGCUUGUAACAUUCUGCUUUGGAAAGAUGCCUUAUGUAUUGGUGCGAGAACUCUUUCAUUUAUGUUUGAAUCAGACUAUCAGAGUACAAAUAUUCUUACAAUAUUUCAUUUUAAAUUUGAUGGAAAAACUGCCUGCUUGUCUACAAUAUACAGACUUAUAGCGCAAUAUGUCAUUCUUAUCGCUGCUUCCUCACAGAUAAUAUGCAAAUUGCAUUUACAGAUGAUUGAUCGACACUUCAUGCACGGUUCUUCUCGAUCCAAGAGUCGCAUGAGAAGACAAAAGAUAGAGAUGCAGAUGGGUACUCGAAGAAGUCAGAUCUUGUUAAAUUAAAUAUGCUGUAUGGCUGAUGACAGUCGAAGAUCGACCAUGUUUUUUUUACUGUUUUGGGAAAAAAAGUGUGCAUUGUUUAGUGGAUGGUUUCAGCUCAUUCGGCUGAGCUGUGAUAACAAGUGUAUCAAUAUAUGUACAAUGUACGAUAUUAAAUUGUUAAUAAAAAUUCUUUUGAGAGCUCUCAUGA